CUUCCAGAUUGUUAUCCCUUUCUUCAGUCUCUUGAUUAAAGACAUUUACUUCCUCAAUGAAGGAUGUGCCAACAGGCUCCUGAACGGACAUGUCAAUUUUGAGAAAUUCUGGGAGCUGGCCAAACAAGUGAUGGAGUUCAUGACAUGGAAGAAGGUGGAGUGUCCUUUUGAUAGAGACCGCAAGAUUCUGCAGUAUCUCCUGACCGCACCAGUCUUCAGUGAAGAUGCUUUGUAUCUGGCAUCAUAUGAGAGUGAAGGACCAGAGAACAACAUGGAGAAAGACAGAUGGAAAUCUCUCAGGUCAUCUUUGCUGAACAGGACAUAAUCCCGUGAGGAACUCAAAACCAAGUGAACCCUGACAAGCAGGCUGUGUCCCCCUUUUGCCCCCUCCAAAAGUGAGAAGUAUCCCUGUUUUUCAAGGGAGAUGACAAUCCAUAUUUUGAUGAACGGUGCAUUUUUAUGUUGGAAAGAGCAGCAUCUUU
This is a long non-coding RNA of Sinocyclocheilus grahami, 482 nucleotides long. RefSeq lists it as uncharacterized. Lineage: Eukaryota; Metazoa; Chordata; Actinopteri; Cypriniformes; Cyprinidae. The transcript has 4 exons. The record is from RefSeq and is a predicted model, not a curated record.